This 3209-nucleotide long non-coding RNA is filed under the name Canis lupus familiaris (dog). Its description in RNAcentral is "lncRNA (ENSCAFG00030023217.1)". The record is from RNAcentral. Lineage: Eukaryota; Metazoa; Chordata; Mammalia; Carnivora; Canidae.
AUGGGACACGGAGCCCGCCCCGGUGCGCGGCCCCGGGCACGGUCCCCGGUCACGAUCCCCGCCCCCGGCAGGAUCCCCCGGGUCACGAUCCCCGCCCCCGGGCGGGUCCCCCGGUCACCAUCCCCGCCCCCGGCAGGAUCCCCGGGUCACGAUCCCCGCCCCGGCAGGAUACCCGGGUCACGAUCCCCGCCCCCGGGCACGGUCCCCGGUCACGAUCCCCGCCCCGGCAGGGUCCCCGGUCACGAUCCCCGCCCCCGGCAGGAUCCCCGGGUCACGAUCCCCGCCCCCGGCAGGAUCCCCGGUCACGAUCCCCGCCCCCGGCAGGAUCCCCGGGUCACGAUCGCCGCCCCCGGCAGGAUCCCCGGUCACGAUCCCCGCCCCCGGCAGGAUCCCCGGGUCACGAUCCCCGCCCCCGGGCACGGUCCCCGGUCACGAUCCCCGCCCCGGCAGGGUCCCCGGUCACGAUCCCCGCCCCCGGCAGGAUCCCCGGUCACGAUCCCCGCCCCCGGGCAGGAUCCCCGGUCACGAUCCCCGCCCCCGGGCAGGAUCCCCGGUCACGAUCCCCGCCCCCGGGCAGGAUCCCCGGUCACGAUCCCCGCCCCCGGGCAGGAUCCCCGGUCACGAUCCCCGCCCCGGCAGGAUCCCCGGUCACGAUCCCCGCCCCCGGGCAUGAUCCCCGGUCACGAUCCCCGCCCCGGCAGGAUCCCCGGUCACGAUCCCCGCCCCGGCAGGAUCCCCGGUCACGAUCCCCGCCCCCGGCAGGAUCCCCGGUCACGAUCCCCGCCCCCGGGCACGGUCCCCGGUCACGAUCCCCGCCCCCGGGCAGGAUCCCCGGUCACGAUCCCCGCCCCGGCAGGGUCCCCGGUCACGAUCCCCGCCCCGGCAGGAUCCCCGGUCACGAUCCCCGCCCCCGGCAGGAUCCCCGGUCACGAUCCCCGCCCCCGGGCACGGUCCCCGUUCACGAUCCCCGCCCCGGCAGGAUCCCCGGUCACGAUCCCCGCCCCGGCAGGAUCCCCGGUCACGAUCCCCGCCCCCGGCAGGAUCCCCGGUCACGAUCCCCGCCCCCGGCAGGGUCCCCCGGUCACGAUCCCCGCCCCCCGGCAGGAUCCCCGGUCACGAUCCCCGCCCCCGGGCAGGAUCCCCGGUCACGAUCCCCGCCCCCGGGCAGGAUCCCCGGUCACGAUCCCCGCCCCCGGCAGGAUCCCCGGUCACGAUCGCCGCCCCCGGCAGGAUCCCCGGUCACGAUCCCCGCCCCCGGCAGGGUCCCCGGUCACGAUCCCCGUCCCCGGGCAGGAUCCCCGGUCACGAUCCCCGCCCCCGGCAGGGGCUGCCCCGGGCCUGCGGGGCCGAAGCUGCCGCGCGGGGACGCUCGCGCCGCGCGGCUCCCACCGGGGUGGCCCCGCCGCCCCGCCCAGGGGUGAUAACUCGGGCUCCUCCUCCUCGUCGUCCUCCUCCCCCUGCGGGUCAUAUCUCCGGGAACCCAGCGCGGGCCCUGCCUCCCGGACACACGACGCUCACGUAGUCCGGUGGCGGCAGCCUCCCCGGCCACCUCCUUCCAGGCGCUCCGAUGCGACGAGCCAGCCGCAGAGGGGGCUUCCCCACGGCCCGAAAGUAAAGGCAUAGCCAAAAAGUAAGUAACUCAGCUGCCUGAAACUGUGAAGGUCAUGUCGUUAUUUUCUAUGCAAGGCUAGAGUUUCCACAAGAAAAACCAUCAUAACCUCUAACCCGAUGAGCUCUCUUGAGGUGUGUUGUCAAUAGUGGAAAAGGGAAAGUAUUUAUGUAAAACCAUCCCUGUUCGCUUCAGUUGUCAUGGAGUGUUAGGGGUUGCCCUCUUUUGACCAGGAACACUGAAAUCUACCCUUGGGCAUGGCCCAUUGCCUUAUGGGGCAGAAGUGAUCUCGUAGGGAUCUAUGUGGAAGCCAAGUUUUUGAGAAUCUGAGUAACAGCCGCUCAUACUCUCACGAUCUCAGUUCCUGCAGCGAACCGAUAUCCCAUCGUACUUCAUACUCUGCUGGUUCACGGAUGUGUCUCUGUCUUCUCCUUCUGGCUUUUUCCCUGGCCAACCUUGGUGACUCAUAAUCCCUGGCCUGGGAAAGGGCUGAGCAGUCAGGAGAGUGUGUCGGGAGAGGAGGCCUCAGGACAGCCUGUGCUUACUGUGUUGGCGCUAAUCGUUUAGCCAACAAAUUUAUCCUCAAAUGGAUAAAACACCUGUGCAGGUGCCUUCCUUUCAGAGACUUAGGAAAUGUAUCUUGUACAUCUCCACUGCCAGGGGUACUUCUGGGCAAUGAUCUCCCCCUUGCCACAGUCCGCUGGGGAAUUCCUGAGCCAGAGGGUCUGGAAGGCCUACAUCAAAUCAGCAUUUGGUACACUAGUUCUUAUAGAAUGAUCCAGUCCAUAAAAGCUAGACUCUACCUGUGAGGAUACGCAGGAGGCCAACAGUCAGAUCAUACUUGUCUGAGGCCACAGGGGUUCACGUCCUCACCUCCAGUUAUGGUGACACUUACACAGUGAAGGGAUCCUGGGCAGUGGUUGCCUAGGCAGUGCCCCUGAGGCAGCGGCCCUGGUAGGAACCCUUGGGCCACCAGGUAGUUAACUUUAUUUUUGCCUUUCGUGGAAGAUAAUUGCAAAACCAAUGAGGCUCUAGAAAGUGCCAGUGGGGUUGUUUAAUUAGCUGGCUCUGACUAGAACCUCACCUUCCGAGUCCCGGUUCCCCUAGCUUUUACAGCUUGGUGAUAAAAGGGGUCUCGGGCAAAUUUACACCCACUGGGUCCAACCAGUGAAGCUUUACCAACGUCUUCAACUAAGUCUUUUUAGUCUGUAAGAUUAAAAGUUGAGAGGGACUUUAGUCAUCUGCAAGUAUGCAGAUUCUCUAACUGAUCCACUGGUUUUAGAAUUGUUUCCACAGGACCUUGAGAGUUUCCCAACCUUUUUCUAAUGAGCUGUUUUAACAUUGUGUGGGGAAGCACGUGUGAAGUGCCGGAAAGCACGUACUGAGGUCGGGUUGGAGGCUGGAAGGGAUCGAGAAGAGGAUAGAGAACUUAACAGUUGACCUUGCGCUGACUCAGGCAAGGAGGAAGGGCUGUAGCCGUCAGAGAAGGAACCUUGCCUCCCUCCGUUCACCCCAGGUUGUCACGGGUGGGCAGAGUGUGUGUGUGGGGGGCUGGGAUGCAAGGCUUUGCCCACCACUUUGGGGGUAUUUUUAAUUCACA